UAUGGUAUUGUCGCAUCUAACGGGUCGAAUAAUUUUGUCAACCGUUCCUUUAACGGAAAGUCGAAAACAAUCUAGUCUUGUCAAUUCACAUGACACAAACAAUUCUUUCUUGCAAAUGAACAGUGCUUUUCGUUAAAUAAAUUCCGUUUUCUGUGAUUGUGAUUAUGUCUAGCGUUUAUCCGUUCAUAUUUGUUUAAAUGCCAUUGCCGGUCAAUUAAUCUAGACAAGUAUCAGCUCGGGUCGAUUUCGAUGUUUUUUGUAACGCACCCAUUGUAAUCGGCUUCUUCGGGAUUAUCUUCCAAACAUGACUUGAUUGGAAUUAUUUGAAAUGAUUUAAUGGAACAUUGAGGCUGGGAAAACCGAUCAACGAAUUUGAUCCACACCGAUACGUAGUUGAACGUAAAGGGUUCGUAGUGGAUCCACCGAGAUCCACCAUCAACAUUUUUAAAAUUACCAUUUUUCCCAUGUAUUUGACAAUGUUUGCCGUAAUGCUUGCUGCAGUUGUGGGACACACAGAUUGUCAUCUUAGCAAUUCAGAGCAAACAACGAAACAAAUGUCAAUUGAAUUGAUGAAUCCGAAGCCGUUACAUACAAUCAAUGUACUAGCCAUAUCAUGCAUUUCGCCGUAUGACAUAGCGUAUUGUUUGAAUGGUGGCCGAUGUUUUAAUGUCACAUUCGCCACCUAUUCAAUGCCCAGUUGUGAGUGUGCCACUGGUUUUAUGGGCGAGAAAUGUGAAUACAAAUAUUUGGAUCGAUCUUAUAAUCCUGAGCAUUAUAUGAAAGCGGAUGACACUAUCACAGCAGAACAUUGGUCCAACGUCGAGAAAUCUCACAGAAAACCAAGCUCAUUCGCCAAUAUUGCCGGAGAAACGUACGUUGGAUCGGGUGCAGUAAAAGGAGUUUCAGCUACUGUUUCGGUUAUGCUACUGUCGAUGUUGUUACUGCAUCUCCUGAUAUUUGUAUUAGUAGCAGUAUAAGGAUACCAUUUGCGUUAAGAGAAUUGUAACCAGUACAAAGUUAUCGUUUCUAUAAAUUUAAUUUUUUUUUUUCGUAAAUAAUUUUCUUGAAAAAUUUCUA
Bradysia coprophila is the source of this 1077-nucleotide long non-coding RNA. The record is from RefSeq and is a predicted model, not a curated record. Lineage: Eukaryota; Metazoa; Arthropoda; Insecta; Diptera; Sciaridae.